Molecule: ribosomal RNA, 2923 nt
Filed under: Klebsiella pneumoniae
Lineage: Bacteria; Pseudomonadati; Pseudomonadota; Gammaproteobacteria; Enterobacterales; Enterobacteriaceae
Also listed under: 1 other name
Description: bacterial LSU rRNA
Rfam family: Bacterial large subunit ribosomal RNA
Source: RNAcentral
GGGUUGUGAGGUUAAGCGACUAAGCGUACACGGUGGAUGCCCUGGCAGUCAGAGGCGAUGAAGGACGUGCUAAUCUGCGAAAAGCGUCGGUAAGGUGAUAUGAACCGUUACAGCCGGCGAUGUCCGAAUGGGGAAACCCAGUGCAAUUCGUUGCACUAUCGUUAACUGAAUACAUAGGUUAACGAGGCGAACCGGGGGAACUGAAACAUCUAAGUACCCCGAGGAAAAGAAAUCAACCGAGAUUCCCCCAGUAGCGGCGAGCGAACGGGGAGCAGCCCAGAGUCUGAAUCAGCUUGUGUGUUAGUGGAACGGUCUGGAAAGUCCGACGGUACAGGGUGAUAGUCCCGUACACCAAAAUGCACAGGUUGUGAACUCGAAGAGUAGGGCGGGACACGUGGUAUCCUGUCUGAAUAUGGGGGGACCAUCCUCCAAGGCUAAAUACUCCUGACUGACCGAUAGUGAACCAGUACCGUGAGGGAAAGGCGAAAAGAACCCCGGCGAGGGGAGUGAAAAAGAACCUGAAACCGUGUACGUACAAGCAGUGGGAGCACCUUCGGGUGUGACUGCGUACCUUUUGUAUAAUGGGUCAGCGACUUAUAUUCUGUAGCAAGGUUAACCGUAUAGGGGAGCCGCAGGGAAACCGAGUCUUAACUGGGCGUUAAGUUGCAGGGUAUAGACCCGAAACCCGGUGAUCUAGCCAUGGGCAGGUUGAAGGUUGGGUAACACUAACUGGAGGACCGAACCGACUAAUGUUGAAAAAUUAGCGGAUGACUUGUGGCUGGGGGUGAAAGGCCAAUCAAACCGGGAGAUAGCUGGUUCUCCCCGAAAGCUAUUUAGGUAGCGCCUCGUGAACUCAUCUUCGGGGGUAGAGCACUGUUUCGGCUAGGGGGUCAUCCCGACUUACCAACCCGAUGCAAACUACGAAUACCGAAGAAUGUUAUCACGGGAGACACACGGCGGGUGCUAACGUCCGUCGUGAAGAGGGAAACAACCCAGACCGCCAGCUAAGGUCCCAAAGUCAUGGUUAAGUGGGAAACGAUGUGGGAAGGCACAGACAGCCAGGAUGUUGGCUUAGAAGCAGCCAUCAUUUAAAGAAAGCGUAAUAGCUCACUGGUCGAGUCGGCCUGCGCGGAAGAUGUAACGGGGCUAAACCAUGCACCGAAGCUGCGGCAGCGACACUAUGUGUUGUUGGGUAGGGGAGCGUUCUGUAAGCCUGCGAAGGUGUGCUGUGAGGCAUGCUGGAGGUAUCAGAAGUGCGAAUGCUGACAUAAGUAACGAUAAAGCGGGUGAAAAGCCCGCUCGCCGGAAGACCAAGGGUUCCUGUCCAACGUUAAUCGGGGCAGGGUGAGUCGACCCCUAAGGCGAGGCCGAAAGGCGUAGUCGAUGGGAAACAGGUUAAUAUUCCUGUACUUGGUGUUACUGCGAAGGGGGGACGGAGAAGGCUAUGUUAGCCGGGCGACGGUUGUCCCGGUUUAAGCAUGUAGGCUGGUUAUCCAGGCAAAUCCGGAUAAUCAAGGCUGAGGUGUGAUGACGAGGCACUACGGUGCUGAAGUAACAAAUGCCCUGCUUCCAGGAAAAGCCUCUAAGCAUCAGGUAACAUCAAAUCGUACCCCAAACCGACACAGGUGGUCAGGUAGAGAAUACCAAGGCGCUUGAGAGAACUCGGGUGAAGGAACUAGGCAAAAUGGUGCCGUAACUUCGGGAGAAGGCACGCUGGUGUGUAGGUGAAGUCCCUGCGGAUGGAGCUGAGACCAGUCGAAGAUACCAGCUGGCUGCAACUGUUUAUUAAAAACACAGCACUGUGCAAACACGAAAGUGGACGUAUACGGUGUGACGCCUGCCCGGUGCCGGAAGGUUAAUUGAUGGGGUUAUCCGUAAGGAGAAGCUCUUGAUCGAAGCCCCGGUAAACGGCGGCCGUAACUAUAACGGUCCUAAGGUAGCGAAAUUCCUUGUCGGGUAAGUUCCGACCUGCACGAAUGGCGUAAUGAUGGCCAGGCUGUCUCCACCCGAGACUCAGUGAAAUUGAACUCGCUGUGAAGAUGCAGUGUACCCGCGGCAAGACGGAAAGACCCCGUGAACCUUUACUAUAGCUUGACACUGAACAUUGAGCCUUGAUGUGUAGGAUAGGUGGGAGGCUUUGAAGCGUGGACGCCAGUCUGCGUGGAGCCAACCUUGAAAUACCACCCUUUAAUGUUUGAUGUUCUAACGUUGGCCCCUGACCGGGGUUGCGGACAGUGUCUGGUGGGUAGUUUGACUGGGGCGGUCUCCUCCCAAAGCGUAACGGAGGAGCACGAAGGUUAGCUAAUCCUGGUCGGACAUCAGGAGGUUAGUGCAAUGGCAUAAGCUAGCUUGACUGCGAGCGUGACGGCGCGAGCAGGUGCGAAAGCAGGUCAUAGUGAUCCGGUGGUUCUGAAUGGAAGGGCCAUCGCUCAACGGAUAAAAGGUACUCCGGGGAUAACAGGCUGAUACCGCCCAAGAGUUCAUAUCGACGGCGGUGUUUGGCACCUCGAUGUCGGCUCAUCACAUCCUGGGGCUGAAGUAGGUCCCAAGGGUAUGGCUGUUCGCCAUUUAAAGUGGUACGCGAGCUGGGUUUAGAACGUCGUGAGACAGUUCGGUCCCUAUCUGCCGUGGGCGCUGGAGAAUUGAGGGGGGCUGCUCCUAGUACGAGAGGACCGGAGUGGACGCAUCACUGGUGUUCGGGUUGUCAUGCCAAUGGCACUGCCCGGUAGCUAAAUGCGGAAGAGAUAAGUGCUGAAAGCAUCUAAGCACGAAACUUGCCCCGAGAUGAGUUCUCCCUGAGACUUUAAGUCUCCUGAAGGAACGUUGAAGACGACGACGUUGAUAGGCCGGGUGUGUAAGCGCAGCGAUGCGUUGAGCUAACCGGUACUAAUGAACCGUGAGGCUUAACCUUACAACGCCGAAG